RNAcentral lists this microRNA precursor (56 nucleotides) under Mus musculus (house mouse). RNAcentral describes it as "microRNA mmu-mir-12194 precursor". Lineage: Eukaryota; Metazoa; Chordata; Mammalia; Rodentia; Muridae. The record is from miRBase by way of RNAcentral.
AGGAGACACAGUCCUUGCAGGCAGUUCCAGCACGUCUGUGGGUCUGUUUGUCCGUC